UGAGGAAUAUUGGACAAUGGGCGCAAGCCUGAUCCAGCAAUGCCGCGUGCAGGAUGAAGGCCUUCGGGUUGUAAACUGUUUUUGUACGGAGCGAAAAGGUCUGCCCUAAUACGGUGGGCUCAUGACGGUACCGUAAGAAUAAGCACCGGCUAACUACGUGCCAGCAGCCGCGGUAAUACGUAGGGUGCGAGCGUUAAUCGGAAUUACUGGGCGUAAAGCGUGCGCAGGCGGUUAUAUAAGACAGAUGUGAAAUCCCCGGGCUCAACCUGGGACCUGCAUUUGUGACUGUAUAGCUAGAGUACGGUAGAGGGGGAUGGAAUUCCGCGUGUAGCAGUGAAAUGCGUAGAUAUGCGGAGGAACACCGAUGGCGAAGGCAAUCCCCUGGACCUGUACUGACGCUCAUGCACGAAAGCGUGGGGAGCAAACA
Molecule: ribosomal RNA, 427 nt
Filed under: uncultured bacterium
Lineage: Bacteria
Description: bacterial SSU rRNA
Rfam family: Bacterial small subunit ribosomal RNA
Source: RNAcentral